GCCGCAGGGCCCGACAGGGAGCCCGGGCUGAAGCCUCUGCAGAGAGGGCCCCUAGCCUCCCAUUCCAGGACCCUCCUCCAGGCCCCCUCCCGGAGGCGCGCUCCGCUCCAGCUCCGCCCCGCCCCCAGGGGGAGCUCGCGCCCUGGCCUCGGAGCCAGCCGCGUGCGGGCGGGAGUGCGCGGGUUUCCUACGGAGGUGGAAGCUGUGUGUGAGCUGCGCCCCGCAGCCCGCUCUCCCGCUCCAUUCUUCCCGCAGCCCCCCCUGCUCCAACCAGGUGACUGGGGGCUCAGCGGACCCGCCCUGCCGCCCGGAAUGGAGCGGGUCCCCAUGGAGCCCAAACUCCCUGCUCCACCUCUCUUCCCGCUGCCGCCGCCAAGCCGCUCCGAGCCCGAGGGAGAUGGCAACCCCCAUCCUUGUGCACGCCGUUGGACAGACUCCGCGCCGGAGCCCCGUCUGCCCUGGGCUGCCAGAGGUCUCCACAUCCUCCUCCUCCCUACUCUACCUGAGCUUCUUCCUCAUCUGCGGGACCCUGUGCCAAGGAACCUACCCAAAUCCAGGGAUUGGGUUGGUGUCGGAUGGGGUGAAUGUCCUGGCGACUUUGAGACAGUCCUACCUGCAAGGUAAAGGAGUUAGGAAAUCAUACUGGUAAGUACCCUGGGCCAGUGCAGAGCAGGCUUCUGCUCUGGGAAGCAGAUGAAGGGCUUGGAGUUGCUGUUAGAGCACAUGUCCACCAGACGGCGCCAGAGCAGCAGCAGAGCCCCCACCCCACAGCUCCCUGGCUGCACCUUCAGCCACAAAUAUGAGGUUGGAGAUGGGUUGGUGGAAGCCAGAAGAGGUGCCCAGAGCUGGGGCUUGGCUGCAGGGCACCUCUAACUCUGGACAAGUUGCCUCAUCUUGGGGGAGGGGACAUGGUUCUGCCAUCACAUCUAAGGCUCACUUCCUGCAUGGUCUGGUGGCCCAGGGGCUAGAGAGUUUGACAGGCUGCCUUGGCUCUGAGUCUCCUUUGAUUGUUUGGAGGCAGAUUUCUGUACCCAGAAACACUUAGCUUGAAUCUUGGACGUCCAUUUUUCUGAAAUGAGGCUGACCUCACCUCCUGUCUUUUAGUGUAUUCAGUGCUCUGAGAGGCCAAGGAGGAGGAAAAUCAUGCUGGUUUGUGCCCAAGAUCAGUCCUGGAUUUAUAAGUUCUGGAGUUCCUCUUGUGGCUCAGUGGGUUAAGAACCUUACUUGUAUCCAUGAGGAUGCAGGUUCAAUUCCUGACCGCUUAGUGGGUUAAGGAUCCAGCAUUGCCAUGAGCUGUGGUGUAGGUUGCAGAUGUGGCUCAGAUCUGGCGUUGCUGUGGCUGUGGUGUAGGCUGGCAGCUGCAGCUCUGAUUUGACUCCUGGCCUGGGAUCCUCCAUAUGCUGUGAAUGCAGCCCUAAGAAGACCAAAAACUUACAAGUCUAGUUGUCAAUGCAUUUGUUUCUGGGUCCAAAGAUCUGCCUCUGUUGAAACAAAGGGCACACUGACCCAAGGAACUUUCCACACUCUGGCACCUGGCACACCCAAUCAGGCUGGACAUGCCCAUCAGAUGCUGAAGGCACAGCUGUGUCCCCUCCCUGAGGUGAGGCACUUUGGUGAGAGUAUGAGAGGUACCCUGUAACCAACCCCAGACCUAUGAGCAUGCACCGAGUGUUCCAACAGUCCUACUUUAACUCCAUCGCUGAGACUGUUCUUGCAACCAGGCAGCUGCAGGUGGGCUCCGCCUGUGCUCUUGUGCUACCCGGCGACCCCGCUCUCUGAUCAUGAACUCUCAGCCCUUCCUGCUGUUUCCAUCAUCUGCCUCUGAACCCACCCUGGCUUGGGCGCUGGCAGCUUGAUUUCAUUUCUCUCAGCCACUAAGCGGAAUGAAUGCCCUCAACACUGGGGUAUAUCUCUCUCUCAGUCUCCCAGAGCACUCACCCCAACCUACCCCCCCCACAGUACAUCAAAACCCUCCCCACCCACUGUGUCCUGAGCUCCUUCUUGAAAUCAGUCACACUGUCCUCACUCAUAUGACCUUCCUUUGGGUCUGCUCCCUGAAACAGCAGUCACAGCAACUAGAGGUUCAGAUGGAAGGGGAAGAAUUAACUUUGGGGAGAACUCUUGAAAGGUAAAGUACAGGGAUUCCUGUCUGCCCUUCAAAACAGCGCAAUGUGGAGUUCCCAUCAUGGCUCAGUGGAAAUGAAUCUACCAUCCAUGAGGACGCAGGUUUGAUCCCUGGCCUCACUCAGUGGGUUAAGGAUCCAGCGUUGCCAUGAGCUGUGGUGUAGGCUGGCGACUGCAGCUCCAAUUUGACCCCCAGCCUGGGAACCUCCAUAUGCCGAGGGUGCAGCCCUAAAAGAACAAACAGGAAUUCAAGUCGUGGCUCAGUGGUUAACAAAUCCGACUAGGAACCAUGAGGUUGCGAGUUCGAUCCCUGCCCUUGCUCAGUGGGUUAAGGAU
Molecule: long non-coding RNA, 2460 nt
Filed under: Sus scrofa (pig)
Lineage: Eukaryota; Metazoa; Chordata; Mammalia; Artiodactyla; Suidae
Description: lncRNA (ENSSSCG00045036088.1)
Source: RNAcentral